Molecule: long non-coding RNA, 514 nt
Organism: Cygnus olor (mute swan)
Lineage: Eukaryota; Metazoa; Chordata; Aves; Anseriformes; Anatidae
Exons: 2
Source: RefSeq, a predicted model, not a curated record
GAUCUGCAGUUCAGCUAGUAGAAAAAAGUGGAUCCCACUGUAAUUGAGUGAGACUAAAGAAAGGUAUUAUCUACAUAGUGAUGAUUUAAAAAACAAGUUUCUGAAGUCUUUUGGAGUCUGUGAAACCUGGUCUGGAAAUGUUAUGUCAUCUUUUUUGGGAAACCCUACACUAAUCUCAUCAGGAUAGCAAAGGAUUCACAGGGACAGCGAGUCUCACCUGUGUUACCAGGAAAAUGUUGCAGAAGAGCAUCUGCAAGCCUCUGAUGGGACUCUUGUUGAAACUGAGGACGGCCAAAAAGGAACUUGGCCAUUUUUCUUGGAAAAAGAAUUGCCCUUUUCAACAUGAUGUAACAUGCAUCUAAUUUAAAAUGUAUUGUAAAAUAAAAAAUUACUGCUGUAAUUAUCCAUUUGGCAACUUUGGACAAAUUAAUAUUUAAAAACCUCUCAGAAUUGACUUCUUAAAAAUGGUAACAUUUUCAUGCCAUUAGAUUGGAAUAAAGUUUGUUUUUAUUUC